CCAAGCCUGAACACGCACUUCGCAGACCUCGGAGAGGACUGAACUACGCUGUGACAGCGCCCGCCCGCCCGCCGCCGUGACGCGAGGGACACGCAGGCCGAGGGCUCACGGCGCGGCUCGGGCCCGCUGCCUCGGCUGGGGGUCGGGAGCGAGCGAGAGGCCCGGCCACCGGCACGUCGGGUGAGUCCAGUCCAGAGAGCGGCCGUGCCGAGCGCCCCUCAGCAGCUGCUGUUCGGCAGAGGCCCGUCUGCCAGCCCGACCCUCGGCCCCUCGCCCCGGCUCGCCUGCCGCCGCCCCUGGGCGCUCUCCUUGGGGCAGCACAGGCCGCCCUGGCUGCGCCCCUGCCCCGCACCAGCAGAGACGGGCCUUGGGCUGGAAGGUGCAAGGCUGAGCCGCUGCUGGAGCAGGAGAGCGCGCUCACCCGGCUCUGGGGCACGCAGGCGGCAGGGAAGAUCUACACCUCUCCCUUCAUGUGCCAUUUAUCGCCUCUCCCAAGACAACGCUUCAGUGGCCAACAGUGCAUGCGAGGAAUCAAGAAGGAUCUCUCUGCAUUUCUUCCUCUUCCUCCAAUUAACACCUUCUAUAGAUCUGCUACAUUAUUCACAUUUCACUAUAGAGAGUGAGCUGUUCUCCCCCAAAAUGUGAGGGGAAGAAUACAUAGCUCUACAGGAAAGGUGGAGGGAAGUUUACUUUUCCUAUUUUUCUGCAACAGCACAGUGAUCAUUCAUAAUAAAAGCCCAUAAUAAGCUAUCGAAAUGGCUUACCAUCACUUGAUCAGAUGUGGGAGAUGAAUACAGUACAUGACAAAACAUUCCCUGUAAAUACUCCCCUUCAAAACCAAAAAGCAGGAAAAAACUACAUGGUCAUCCAGAAAACCAUGCCUGAAGGCAGGAAGGAAGAGAGUGGGAGCUUGAGCUGCACACAAACCUGCCGAUUCACACAGCUGCUCUUUUUGUGAAAUCUUGGACCAAUAUUUUCACUCUGUCCCUUCCACCUUUGUAUUUUGCCUGGGUUUGACCCGUUGGUGCAGCUCUCCUGGACCUGGAAGAAAAGCUCAGAAACACACCGCUGAAGGAAAAAGAGCUGUGAGGAGGCUGUCACGCUGCUCCUUCUGCUCAUGGCAUUGAUGCACACAGAAAGGUGCAACUGCUGGCAAACCCUCGCUAAAAUGGCCUCUCACCAGGGGCUGGUUCACAUUCUUGGGUUCAACCAGUUAAAGUUUUUAAAUAUUCGGAGGUACUUUUUAAUUUCUA
RNAcentral lists this long non-coding RNA (1253 nucleotides) under Otus sunia (Oriental scops-owl). RNAcentral describes it as "lncRNA (ENSOSUG00000010251.1)". The record is from RNAcentral. Lineage: Eukaryota; Metazoa; Chordata; Aves; Strigiformes; Strigidae.